RNAcentral lists this microRNA precursor (94 nucleotides) under Echinops telfairi (small Madagascar hedgehog). RNAcentral's name for it is "miRNA (ENSETEG00000022399.1)". The stretch from base 8 to 74 matches the Rfam family "mir-28 microRNA precursor family". Lineage: Eukaryota; Metazoa; Chordata; Mammalia; Afrosoricida; Tenrecidae. The record is from RNAcentral.
CACUCUUCCUGCCCUCGAGGAGCUCACAGUCUAGUACGUGCCACCCUACUAGACUGGCGCUCCUUGAGGACAGGGGUCGUCAUACUCGCCCGCG